UACGGAGGUCCCAAGCGUUGUUCGGAUUUAUUGGGCGUAAAGGGUGCGUAGGCGGCGCGGUAAGUCGGGUGUGAAAUCUCGGAGCUUAACUCCGAAACUGCAUUCGAUACUGCCGUGCUGGAGGACUGGAGAGGAGACUGGAAUUUACGGUGUAGCGGUGAAAUGCGUAGAUAUCGUAAGGAAGACCAGUGGCGAAGGCGGGUCUCUGGACAGUUCCUGACGCUGAGGCACGAAGGCCAGGGGAGCAAACGGG
This 253-nucleotide ribosomal RNA is filed under the name uncultured bacterium. RNAcentral's name for it is "partial 16S ribosomal RNA". It matches the Rfam family "Bacterial small subunit ribosomal RNA", at positions 524 to 776 of the family's 1533-position model. The record is from RNAcentral.